Molecule: non-coding RNA, 104 nt
Filed under: Clostridium oryzae
Lineage: Bacteria; Bacillati; Bacillota; Clostridia; Eubacteriales; Clostridiaceae
Description: TPP sequence
Rfam family: TPP riboswitch aptamer (THI element)
About the family: Vitamin B(1) in its active form thiamin pyrophosphate (TPP) is an essential coenzyme that is synthesised by coupling of pyrimidine and thiazole moieties in bacteria.
Source: Rfam by way of RNAcentral
UAGAAGUGCUAGGGGUGCCCUCGGGCUGAGACGUGGAAUUUCAUUCCUAAACCCUUUUACCUGAUCUGGAUAAUACCAGCGUAGGGAAGCGAUUUAAUCAUUGG